RNAcentral lists this ribosomal RNA (369 nucleotides) under uncultured bacterium. RNAcentral describes it as "bacterial SSU rRNA". It matches the Rfam family "Bacterial small subunit ribosomal RNA", at positions 527 to 896 of the family's 1533-position model. The record is from RNAcentral.
GUAGGGUGCAAGCGUUAAUCGGAAUUACUGGGCGUAAAGCGUGCGCGGGCGGUUAUGCAAGACAGAGGUGAAAUCCCCGGGCUCAACCUGGGAACUGCCUUUGUGACUGCAUGGCUAGAGUACGGUAGAGGGGGAUGGAAUUCCGCGUGUAGCAGUGAAAUGCGUAGAUAUGCGGAGGAACACCGAUGGCGAAGGCAAUCCCCUGGACCUGUACUGACGCUCAUGCACGAAAGCGUGGGGAGCAAACAGGAUUAGAUACCCUGGUAGUCCACGCCCUAAACGAUGUCAACUGGUUGUUGGGAGGGUUUCUUCUCAGUAACGUAGCUAACGCGUGAAGUUGACCGCCUGGGGAGUACGGCCGCAAGGUUG